GUGCGAGGACGACCUCCCCCACUUGGGUUUUUGAUUGGGACGACCCAA
RNAcentral lists this non-coding RNA (48 nucleotides) under Pseudoruegeria sp. SK021. Its description in RNAcentral is "Guanidine-II riboswitch aptamer (mini-ykkC)". It matches the Rfam family "Guanidine-II riboswitch aptamer (mini-ykkC)". Rfam says of the family: Simpler in structure and has fewer highly conserved nucleotide positions than the ykkC-yxkD leader. Lineage: Bacteria; Pseudomonadati; Pseudomonadota; Alphaproteobacteria; Rhodobacterales; Roseobacteraceae. RNAcentral also lists the same sequence under 1 other name. The record is from Rfam by way of RNAcentral.